This 459-nucleotide ribosomal RNA is filed under the name uncultured bacterium. Its description in RNAcentral is "partial 16S ribosomal RNA". It matches the Rfam family "Bacterial small subunit ribosomal RNA", at positions 338 to 795 of the family's 1533-position model. The record is from RNAcentral.
CCUACGGGUGGCAGCAGUGAGGAAUAUUGGUCAAUGGGCGGACGCCUGAACCAGCCAAGCCGCGUGAGGGAAGAAGGUACUGCGUAUCGUAAACCUCUUUUGUCAGGGAGCAAAGGCGGGGACUAGUCCCCGGAUGAGGGUACCUGAAGAAAAAGCAUCGGCUAAAUCCGUGCCCGCAGCCGCGGUAAUACGGAGGAUGCGAGCGUUAUCCGGAUUUAUUGGGUUUAAAGGGUGCGCAGGCGGCCUGUUAAGUCAGCGGUAAAAGCCCGGGGCUCAACCCCGGCGAGCCGUUGAAACUGGCGUGCUUGAGUGGGAGAGAAGUACGCGGAAUGCGCGGUGUAGCGGUGAAAUGCUUAGAUAUCGCGCAGAACCCAGAUUGCGAAGGCAGCGUACCGGCGCCACACUGACGCUGAGGCACGAAAGCGUGGGUAUCGAACAGGAUUAGAUACCCGGGUAGUC